GUAUGCGUAUCCACUUCAGUCCACUUGUGUUGGAGUGAAUUUGAAUGGGACAUAUGUUGAAUUGGAUUGGAGUUGAAUUAAACUAAGUCCCAUUUAAAUUCACUCCAAUACAAGUGGACUGAAGUGGAUACACAU
MicroRNA precursor from Sorghum bicolor (sorghum), 135 nucleotides. It matches the Rfam family "MIR5565 microRNA precursor family". The record is from Rfam. Lineage: Eukaryota; Viridiplantae; Streptophyta; Magnoliopsida; Poales; Poaceae.